CUGUGAUGCUGGCUGGCAAACAUGCCCUCUUCGUUGGGGUAUCCCGCGAUUAUGCAAGAUGAGGAAGAAGUAGAGAGCUCGGGGAAAAGAAGAGCUGGAAGGAAGCUGUUGCUUCAUUCCGUUCAUGGAAGGAGAGAGAAAAUAUCAGAGUUUGAUGGGAGCAGGCACAGCCAGCAGAAGGUAAUUAUGCAGCCAAAUUCAGACUCUGGAGAAACACACCAAUGGUGAUAGGUGAUUCCAGGACAGAGAAAACAUACUCCACCAGACUGCAAAUAUGAAACUGACUUUUGAAAUUCUGAGAAAAGAGGGAGGAAUGUUUUCAUCUGUAACCAUGAAUCACAUCCUGACAGCACCAUCUACCAGUCACAGUUCAAACUGUAAGGGAAAAUCUAGUUCUAAAAGCUUCUGAUUGUAAAUAACCAAAACAAUUUCUGAAACAAGAUAUAAUUGUGUCUAAUAUAUUAGACAUUUUAUUUUUCAUUUUAUUUUUAAUUCAUCAUUUUAUACUUUUUCUAUGUCCUCAUAAAUUAUGUAGGGGAUUUCUAGUUAACCAAAAGAAUAUAAUCCAACAUCAUUUUUAGAUCUAUGUGGCAUAGAAAAAUAUAGCUUCCUAAGUUCAUUUUAUUUUCAAAGUUUGGUUUAUAUUCAUAGCUACAAAUAUGUUCUUGAGGAAAAUAUAGUGCCCAUAGUUUGUCUAUGUCCUUUUAACUGUGUUGGUGUCUCAUGCAGUGGAUAAUUUUAUGACUUACCGCCUUACUGACAUUCUCAUGGUAUCCUAAGGUCCAGAAAAAUUCUAUCUUUUAUCCUAGCUCUGAUUUGAGCUUGAAAUGUAAAAGCCUAGAAGGUUAGUCUUUAUUUUUCUUUUGCAGAAAUGGAAAUGAUUUAAAUGACACAUUACUAAAUCAUUAAAGCAUUAUCACAAGUUGUUUUGGUGUAAUGAUUCGGUUUGGAGCCUGCGGAAUGGAAAGCACACUAUUCUGUUUUGCCUUGCAGCCCUACUUUAGUUAAAAGACAUUAAAGUCUCUCAUGAGUAUGUGGUAUAAACUUCUCUGUCCAAAGCCAACAGUCAGUUGGCUCCACACUCACUCAUUUCCUUCUCUUCUCUUCUUCCUCUUCCUCCUCCUCCUUCUUUUCUGACAGAAGCAGAGAAAUUAUGUAAGCAUUUUGAAAUAACUGUCCUUUUGGGGCUGAAGAUAACUAUCACUCAAUUAGAAGAGCAGGAGAGACCAUGUAAACUUGAGAACCAGUGCAAACUGUGAGGCUGAGGAGGAAGCAUGUUUCUAGAAGCACAAAUGCUUCUAUGAGUAACUCAAUUGGCUGUGGCAUUUGGAUCUACUCAAAGGAUUAAAAAAAAAAUUGUUUAUAGACCAGUCUUGGUG
Molecule: long non-coding RNA, 1379 nt
Organism: Cebus imitator (Panamanian white-faced capuchin)
Lineage: Eukaryota; Metazoa; Chordata; Mammalia; Primates; Cebidae
Exons: 3
Source: RefSeq, a predicted model, not a curated record